GGCAGGCCCCCACGCAACGGUAAGCUGUGAACCCCGUCAGGCCCGGAAGGGAGCAGCGGUAGCAGUGAUCCCGUGUGCCGUGGUGUGGCUUGCUGGA
This 97-nucleotide signal recognition particle RNA is filed under the name Thiohalorhabdus denitrificans. Its description in RNAcentral is "Bacterial small signal recognition particle RNA". It matches the Rfam family "Bacterial small signal recognition particle RNA". From Rfam's summary of the family: The signal recognition particle (SRP) is a universally conserved ribonucleoprotein involved in the co-translational targeting of proteins to membranes. Archaeal SRP consists of a 7S RNA and homologues of the eukaryotic SRP19 and SRP54 proteins. RNAcentral also lists the same sequence under 1 other name. Lineage: Bacteria; Pseudomonadati; Pseudomonadota; Gammaproteobacteria; Thiohalorhabdales; Thiohalorhabdaceae. The record is from Rfam by way of RNAcentral.